RNAcentral lists this ribosomal RNA (449 nucleotides) under uncultured bacterium. RNAcentral's name for it is "bacterial SSU rRNA". It matches the Rfam family "Bacterial small subunit ribosomal RNA", at positions 355 to 796 of the family's 1533-position model. The record is from RNAcentral.
UGGGGAAUAUUGGACAAUGGGGGCAACCCUGAUCCAGCAAUGCCGCGUGUGUGAAGAAGGCCUUCGGGUUGUAAAGCACUUUCAGUGGGGAGGAAGGGGUUAUUGUUAAUACCGAUAAUCAUUGACGUUACCUACAGAAGAAGCACCGGCUAACUCUGUGCCAGCAGCCGCGGUAAUACAGAGGGUGCAAGCGUUAAUCGGAAUUACUGGGCGUAAAGCGUGUGUAGGUGGUUGGAUAAGUUAGAUGUGAAAUCCCCGGGCUUAACCUGGGCAUUGCGUUUAAGACUGUUUAACUAGAGUACUGUAGAGGAUAGUGGAAUUUCCAGUGUAGCGGUGAAAUGCGUAGAUAUUGGAAGGAACACCAGUGGCGAAGGCGACUAUCUGGAUAGAUACUGACACUGAGACACGAAAGCGUGGGGAGCAAACAGGAUUAGAUACCCCGGUAGUCC